UCUCUGCAGAAAUUUCGCAAAAAAUAGGC
Molecule: small RNA, 29 nt
Filed under: Bombyx mori (domestic silkworm)
Lineage: Eukaryota; Metazoa; Arthropoda; Insecta; Lepidoptera; Bombycidae
Description: ovarian small RNA-29842
Source: RNAcentral